Molecule: small nucleolar RNA, 106 nt
Filed under: Olea europaea subsp. europaea
Lineage: Eukaryota; Viridiplantae; Streptophyta; Magnoliopsida; Lamiales; Oleaceae
Description: Plant small nucleolar RNA R71
Rfam family: Plant small nucleolar RNA R71
About the family: R71 is a member of the C/D box family of snoRNAs containing the C (UGAUGA) and D (CUGA) box motifs. Multiple nearly identical copies of this snoRNA have been identified in Arabidopsis, and it is thought to function as a 2'-O-ribose methylation guide for 18S ribosomal RNA.
Source: Rfam by way of RNAcentral
AUGUCAUGACGAGGGCACUUCUGAAGAUGUUCUUGAAUCUAUUCCAAGCUUCAUCAAAGGAUUUGGUUUCUCUUUGCCGAAAUAUGGAUAUGUCAUGCUUCAACUU